AGUGAACGCUGGCGGUAGGCCUAACACAUGCAAGUCGAACGGAAGCACAGUAAGCGCUUGCUCUUACGGGUGGCGAGUGGCGGACGGGUGAGGCAUACAUCGGAAUCUACUUUUUCGUGGGGGAUAACGUAGGGAAACUUACGAUAAUACCGCAUACGAUCUACGGGUGAAAGCAGGAGAUCUUCGGACCUUGCGCGACUCAUUGAGCCGAUGUCGGAUUAGCUAGUUGGCGGGGUAAAGGCCCACCAAGGCGACGAUCCGUAGCUGGUCUGAGAGGAUGAUCAGCCACACUGGAACUGAGACACGGUCCAGACUCCUACGGGAGGCAGCAGUGGGGAAUAUUGGACAAUGGGCGAAAGCCUGAUCCAGCAAUACCGCGUGAGUGAUGAAGGCCUUCGGGUUGUAAAACCCUGUUAUUGGGAAAGAAAAACAGCAUAUUAAUACCCCGCUGUUUUGACGGUACCUAAAGAAUAAGCACCGGCUAACUACGUG
Molecule: ribosomal RNA, 492 nt
Filed under: uncultured bacterium
Lineage: Bacteria
Description: partial 16S ribosomal RNA
Rfam family: Bacterial small subunit ribosomal RNA
Source: RNAcentral